UUUAUUUGCCUAAAUUGUUUUCUCUUGUUUCUUAUUGCUAUAAAAUGUCUCAAAUGGUGAAAGAAACUGCAGAUCAAAAAGGAGAGAUCAAACCUAUAUACAAAAGGAUCCAAAAUCUACACGAGAAAGCCUGAGAUCAACAAAAUACCCAAAAGAAAAGGAGAGAGGAUCUACAAUAUACAAGAGAGAUUGUGAAAGAGAAAAGCAAGAGCAUUCAAAGAGAGG
Molecule: long non-coding RNA, 225 nt
Filed under: Elaeis guineensis (African oil palm)
Lineage: Eukaryota; Viridiplantae; Streptophyta; Magnoliopsida; Arecales; Arecaceae
Description: long non-coding RNA (EGUI_LNC048702)
Source: RNAcentral